GUAGGGAAUAUUGCGCAAUGGGGGAAACCCUGACGCAGCGACGCCGCGUGAGUGAUGAAGGCCUUCGGGUCGUAAAGCUCUGUUGCAGGGGAAUAAAAAAAUGAAGGUACCCUGUGAGGAAGGAUCGGCUAACUUCGUGCCAGCAGCCGCGGUAAGACGAGGGAUCCUAGCGUUGCUCGGAAUCAUUGGGCGUAAAGAGGGCGUAGGUGGCUUGGUAAGUCAGGUGUGAAAGCCCAGGGCUCAACCCUGGAAGUGCAUUUGAUACUGCUGAGCUGGAGUGUCGGAGAGGUUACCGGAAUACCUGGUGUAGUGGUGAAAUACGUAGAUAUCAGGUGGAACACCGGAGGCGAAGGCGGGUAACUGGACGAACACUGACACUGAGGCCCGAAAGCGUGGGGAUCAAACAGGAUUAGAUACCCGGGUAGUCC
This 428-nucleotide ribosomal RNA is filed under the name uncultured bacterium. RNAcentral describes it as "partial 16S ribosomal RNA". It matches the Rfam family "Bacterial small subunit ribosomal RNA", at positions 354 to 796 of the family's 1533-position model. The record is from RNAcentral.